GUGCAAUUUUAACAAUAUUAUGCCUGAGUUUACCAUGUACACUACAUCACAUUUUACAGAUCACUGGAUCUACAAAUACACCAAACAUUUAGUAACAGGCACAAUAUUGUCAAAGUUAACUGAUGUUUCUAG
This is a long non-coding RNA of Sphaeramia orbicularis (orbiculate cardinalfish), 132 nucleotides long. RefSeq lists it as uncharacterized. Lineage: Eukaryota; Metazoa; Chordata; Actinopteri; Kurtiformes; Apogonidae. The transcript has 3 exons. The record is from RefSeq and is a predicted model, not a curated record.